GAUGAACGCUGGCGGCGUGCCUAAUACAUGCAAGUCGAGCGAACGGACGAGAAGCUUGCUUCUCUGAUGUUAGCGGCGGACGGGUGAGUAACACGUGGAUAACCUACCUAUAAGACUGGGAUAACUUCGGGAAACCGUAGCUAAUACCGGAUAAUAUUUUGAACCGCAUGGUUCAAUAGUGAAAGACGGUCUUGCUGUCACUUAUAGAUGGAUCCGCGCUGCAUUAGCUAGUUGGUAAGGUAACGGCUUACCAAGGCAACGAUGCGUAGCCGACCUGAGAGGGUGAUAGGCCACACUGGAACUGAGACACGGUCCAGACUCCUACGGGAGGCAGCAGUAGGGAAUCUUCCGCAAUGGGCGAAAGCCUGACGGAGCAACGCCGCGUGAGUGAUGAAGGUCUUCGGAUCGUAAAACUCUGUUAUUAGGGAAGAACAUAUGUGUAAGUAACUGUGCACAUCUUGACGGUACCUAAUCAGAAAGCCACGGCUAACUACGUG
This 497-nucleotide ribosomal RNA is filed under the name uncultured bacterium. RNAcentral describes it as "partial 16S ribosomal RNA". It matches the Rfam family "Bacterial small subunit ribosomal RNA", at positions 28 to 507 of the family's 1533-position model. The record is from RNAcentral.